CCUACGGGUGGCUGCAGUGGGGAAUUUUGGACAAUGGGGGCAACCCUGAUCCAGCCAUGCCGCGUGCGGGAAGAAGGCCUUCGGGUUGUAAACCGCUUUUAGCCGGGAAGAAAAGGCGAGGGAUAACACCCUUCGUUCUUGACGGUACCGGCGGAAUAAGCACCGGCUAACUACGUGCCAGCAGCCGCGGUAAUACGUAGGGUGCGAGCGUUAAUCGGAAUUACCGGAGGUGAAGCGUGAGCACGCGGUUGAAAGCCCCGGGCUCAACCUGGGAAUGGCAGUGGAUACUGGCGGGCUUGAGUGUGGCAGAGGGGGGUGGAAUUCCGCGUGUAGCAGUGAAAUGCGUAGAGAUGCGGAGGAACACCGAUGGCGAAGGCAGCCCCCUGGGCUGACACUGACGCUCAGGCACGAAAGCGUGGGGAGCAAACAGGAUUAGAUACCCUUGUAGUC
This 450-nucleotide ribosomal RNA is filed under the name uncultured bacterium. RNAcentral's name for it is "partial 16S ribosomal RNA". It matches the Rfam family "Bacterial small subunit ribosomal RNA", at positions 338 to 795 of the family's 1533-position model. The record is from RNAcentral.